UGUGGUUGUGGCUUAGUGGUAGAGCGCUUGCCUUGCACAUGUGAGCCACUGGGUUCAAUCCUCAGCACCAUAG
Molecule: transfer RNA, 73 nt
Filed under: Marmota monax (woodchuck)
Lineage: Eukaryota; Metazoa; Chordata; Mammalia; Rodentia; Sciuridae
Description: tRNA.Ala
Source: RNAcentral